Cordylochernes scorpioides is the source of this 74-nucleotide non-coding RNA. Lineage: Eukaryota; Metazoa; Arthropoda; Arachnida; Pseudoscorpiones; Chernetidae. The record is from the annotation of a GenBank genome assembly.
GUCCUGGAGAUGGGAAUCGAACCCACAGUGUUCCGCUUACCGGGCAGAUGCCAUGUCCACUAAGCUACCCUGGA